CGGUGCGGGGCGGGCUAACACAUGCAAGUCGAGCGGAUGAGAAGAGCUUGCUCUUCGAUUCAGCGGCGGACGGGUGAGUAAUGCCUAGGAAUCUGCCUGGUAGUGGGGGACAACGUUUCGAAAGGAACGCUAAUACCGCAUACGUCCUACGGGAGAAAGCAGGGGACCUUCGGGCCUUGCGCUAUCAGAUGAGCCUAGGUCGGAUUAGCUAGUUGGUGAGGUAAUGGCUCACCAAGGCGACGAUCCGUAACUGGUCUGAGAGGAUGAUCAGUCACACUGGAACUGAGACACGGUCCAGACUCCUACGGGAGGCAGCAGUGGGGAAUAUUGGACAAUGGGCGAAAGCCUGAUCCAGCCAUGCCGCGUGUGUGAAGAAGGUCUUCGGAUUGUAAAGCACUUUAAGUUGGGAGGAAGGGCAUUAACCUAAUACGUUAGUGUUUUGACGUUACCGACAGAAUAAGCACCGGCUAACUCUGUGCCAGCAGCCGCGGUAAUACAGAGGGUGCAAGCGUUAAUCGGAAUUACUGGGCGUAAAGCGCGCGUAGGUGGUUUGUUAAGUUGAAUGUGAAAGCCCCGGGCUCAACCUGGGAACUGCAUCCAAAACUGGCAAGCUAGAGUACGGUAGAGGGUGGUGGAAUUUCCUGUGUAGCGGUGAAAUGCGUAGAUAUAGGAAGGAACACCAGUGGCGAAGGCGACCACCUGGACUGAUACUGACACUGAGGUGCGAAAGCGUGGGGAGCAAACAGGAUUAGAUACCCUGGUAGUCCACGCCGUAAACGAUGUCAACUAGCCGUUGGAAUCCUUGAGAUUUUAGUGGCGCAGCUAACGCAUUAAGUUGACCGCCUGGGGAGUACGGCCGCAAAGUUAAAACUCAAAUGAAUUGACGGGGGCCCG
This 894-nucleotide ribosomal RNA is filed under the name Pseudomonas putida. RNAcentral's name for it is "bacterial SSU rRNA". It matches the Rfam family "Bacterial small subunit ribosomal RNA", at positions 34 to 923 of the family's 1533-position model. The record is from RNAcentral. Lineage: Bacteria; Pseudomonadati; Pseudomonadota; Gammaproteobacteria; Pseudomonadales; Pseudomonadaceae.